CGCAUUCCUCCCGCGCUCGUAAUGCAGCCGCGGUUCUGCGCUGUCAUCGGGAGCCGCGGGGACGCCAGCCCGCCCGCCGGGCCGGGAAGCACGGGUCCCCUCGAGCCUCCCCGACGGCCUCCCCGCCGUCUCCCAGCGCAAAUCUUAGUGACUCUCGGGUGACUCGCAAGCGAUCAAAACGAACGUCGGCGCAGCCGGGUCCCUGGGGGAGGGGGACACGCCAGGACGAGGACACGAGGCGGAAAGGCUGCUGUGGCUUUUUCGGGUCCCCCCCUCGCCCCAGCCUCCUCCUGCCUCGCUCAGAGCCCGACGGGCCGACUCCGCGUUGUAAACACAGGCCGUUAUAGAAACGUGGAACGAAAGCGGAUGAAAGACAGUACAAGGCAUCCGGCACGCCAAACGCAACUGGACAACAAUGAGCUUGCGUGUCUAGAUACCUUUGCAACCCGUGGCAAGGACCCUCACAGCCUCCCAGGGGUCCAUGAAGGAGAAGAGAGGCCCAGCAAGACGGGAGGCGGCUGACGGGAAGGGGAUCUGGAAAAAAGACCACUGCGGUCGAUCACAAAAGUGGACAGAAAUUCUCCCCCUGGUCCCACACUCUUUGCAGCUCCUCCCAUCCAGACAUGGGGUCUGCCACCCCACCUCUUGAACCCGGGCCGGCCUUCUGACUUGCCCUGGCCAGCGGAAGGUGGUGGAAGUGACGGUGUGUGUGUCUGAGCUACGCUUCCGCUGUGCCUGGCUGCCGUGUGAGGAAGCCCCGGGCCGGCCCAUUGGAAGGUGAGAGGCAUGUGCACGUCACCUCCAUUGUCCCGCUCACAGCCAGCCGCGCCCUCGGAGCAGAGCCACGGGGCUGACCGACGGCCGACCACUGACCCCUGGCCAGGACCAGACGCACCGGCUGCACCCAAACUCCGAGCACGAGGACGAUGUGUCUGUUCCAACGCACUGUGGCGCACAGCCUUCCCCAAAUCCGGCCGUGACAACGUCUCCCGGCCCCCGUGACCUUCCAGCAUGCGGUCUCGCUCCGCGCCUGGCGUCGAGGGGAGUCUGUGAGGACUCCAAUCAGGGCCGACUCCAGGCCACACGGCAAGAGGGGCUCUGGCGGGUACCCCGGCUCCGAGUCAUCCCGGCCCAGGUGCCCAGCACGGGUGUGACGAGCCUGCAGCCCCCGGGCUGGCCCCACCGAGACCCCAGACUUGGUGCAACAGAGACCCACUGUGUGACUCCCGCGCCCAAUUCUCGACCCACCAAACCCACGAGCGUCCCAUAAUCGCUCCUUGAAUCGGCGCCACUUGGGGGCAUCUUGUCAACCAGCAACAGCCUCUAAGUUUGGGGUCAUCGGUUACGCGGCCACAGCUGACGGACGCAGCGCCACCCCCGAGACAACGGGGCCCCCUCGGCCUCACACUCUGACUCGCCCCAGUGCCCCGACUCUCGCCUCCUCUCCGCACCCAGGAUUCCUGCCCAAACGCAGGCCGCGCCCCUUUCUCUUUCCCGCCACCCCCACCCCGCAGGCCACACCCAGCUUGCUCCCCGCUGACGCCCCC
Long non-coding RNA from Equus asinus (donkey), 1547 nucleotides. NCBI's taxonomy places the organism in Eukaryota, Metazoa, Chordata, Mammalia, Perissodactyla, Equidae. The record is from Ensembl.